This is a long non-coding RNA of Haemorhous mexicanus (house finch), 795 nucleotides long. RefSeq lists it as uncharacterized. Lineage: Eukaryota; Metazoa; Chordata; Aves; Passeriformes; Fringillidae. The record is from RefSeq and is a predicted model, not a curated record. The transcript has 2 exons.
UUGGGGGCUGCAGGGUUUGGGGUCUGUGGGGGCUUUGGGACUGUGUAGAGGUCAGAAGGAGGGCUGGGGUGCUGUGCAAGGACAGCCCCGGGGUGUGGCUGCUCCCUGGGGAGGCAUUGGGCCCACAGCUGGGUGGGGAUGAGGGGGAGAGAGCUGAGUGGGCCCUGUGGGGUGUAAGGGGUGAGCUGUGUGGUGGGGAGGGGGCUGCAGGGCCAGCCCCAGGGCCAGCAGCCAGAGCAGGAUUUGGUUUUGCAUGAGUGUCCCAGAACUUUGUGUGUCCCAGGCUUUCCUGUUGGGGCUCAGCCCCAGGUGGUGACAGAGGUGGGACUGGGUGCUUCCAUUCCUGAGGUGAGGGAGCGCCAGGUGGCUGGACCAGGAGGUGAUUCUGCUUCUUGCAGUUUGGUAAUACCUGUGUGGUCUUUUUGGGUUAUCACAGAAUCAUAGAAGGGUUUGGGCUGAAAGGGAGCAUAGAGACCAUCUCCUGCCAUGGGCAGGGACACCUUCCUCUAUCCCAGGUUGCUCUAAGCCCAGUCCAACCUGGCCUUGAAUAUGUCCACAGCUUCUCUGGGCGCCCUGUGCCAGGGCCUCCCCACCCUCCCUAAUUCCCUAAUACCAGGGCCUCCCCACGCUCCUUAAUUCCCUAAAACCCUUCUCUGUGCCUGUUGAAACCAUUCUCCCUUGUCCUGGCACUCCAUGCUCUUGUAAAAAGUCCCCCUCCGGGUUUCUUGUAGGUAAUAGAAAGCAGUUGUGCCUAAUGGAUGAUGAACGUGAAUAAAAUCCAUUUUUCAAAGUUGA